RNAcentral lists this ribosomal RNA (500 nucleotides) under uncultured Pseudosphingobacterium sp. RNAcentral's name for it is "bacterial SSU rRNA". It matches the Rfam family "Bacterial small subunit ribosomal RNA", at positions 389 to 889 of the family's 1533-position model. The record is from RNAcentral. Lineage: Bacteria; Pseudomonadati; Bacteroidota; Sphingobacteriia; Sphingobacteriales; Sphingobacteriaceae.
CAGCCAUGCCGCGUGCAGGAAGGAGGCCCUAUGGGUUGUAAACUGCUUUUGUACGGGAAUAAACCUAUCUUCGUGAAGAUAGCUGAAUGUACCGUAAGAAUAAGGAUCGGCUAACUCCGUGCCAGCAGCCGCGGUAAUACGGAGGAUCCGAGCGUUAUCCGGAAUUAUUGGGUUUAAAGGGUGCGUAGGCGGAUAUCUAAGUCAGUGGUGAAAGACGGUGGCUCAACCAUCGCAGUGCCGUUGAUACUGGAUAUCUUGAAUGUACUUGAGGGAAGCGGAAUGUGGCAAGUAGCGGUGAAAUGCAUAGAUAUGCCACAGAACACCGAUAGCGUAGGCAGCUUUCCAAGGUAUGAUUGACGCUGAGGCACGAAAGCGUGGGGAUCGAACAGGAUUAGAUACCCUGGUAGUCCACGCCCUAAACGAUGAACACUCGAUGUCGGCGAUAUACGGUCGGCGUCCAAGCGAAAGCGUUAAGUGUUCCACCUGGGGAGUACGCCCGC